CCUACGGGAGGCAGCAGUGAGGAAUAUUGCGCAAUGGGCGAAAGCCUGACGCAGCGACACCGCGUGGGUGAUGAAGGCCUUCGGGUCGUAAAGCCCUGUCAGAGGGGACGAAGUUCUGACGGUACCCUCAGAGGAAGCCCCGGCCAACUACGUGCCAGCAGCCGCGGUAAUACGUAGGGGGCAAGCGUUACUCGGAAUCACUGGGCGUAAAGAGCUCGUAGGUGGGUAGAUAAGUCAUACAGUAAAGCCAACAGCUCAACUGUUGUUCUCUGUAUGAUACUGUUGGCCUUGAGGACAGGAGAGGGGAGUGAAAUUCCUGGUGUAGCGGUAAAAUGCGUAGAUAUCAGGAAGAACACCGGUGGCGAAGGCGGCUCCCUGGUCUUUUCCUGACACUGAGGAGCGAAAGCUGGGGGAGCGAACGGGAUUAGAUCCCCGGGUAGU
RNAcentral lists this ribosomal RNA (441 nucleotides) under uncultured bacterium. RNAcentral's name for it is "partial 16S ribosomal RNA". It matches the Rfam family "Bacterial small subunit ribosomal RNA", at positions 338 to 794 of the family's 1533-position model. The record is from RNAcentral.